GACGAACGCUGGCGGCGUGCUUAACACAUGCAAGUCGAACGGAAAGGCGCGGCUCUUGCUGCUUUGUCGAUUGGCGAACGGGUGAGUAACACGCGAGUAACCUGCCCUUAACUUUGGGAUAACUUCAGGGAACUGGGGCUAAUACCCGAGAGGAUCUCCUGCUGCACGGGGGGCAUUGGAAAAUUUCGGCGGUUGGGGAUAGACUCGCUGGUUAUCAGCUUGUUUGUGGGGUAGUGGCUUACCAAGGGUUUGACGGGUAGCCGGCAUGAGAGGGUUGCCGGCGACAUUGGGCCUGAGAUACGGCGCAGAAUGCUACGGGAGGCAGCAGUCGGGAACAUUGCAGAAUGGGCGGAAGCCUGAUGCAACAACGUCGCGUGCGGGAUGACGGCCUUCGGGUUGUAAACCGCUUUCGCCUGUGACGAAGCGUGAGUGACGGUAAUGGGUAAAGAAGCACCGGCUAACUACGUG
RNAcentral lists this ribosomal RNA (468 nucleotides) under uncultured bacterium. RNAcentral's name for it is "partial 16S ribosomal RNA". It matches the Rfam family "Bacterial small subunit ribosomal RNA", at positions 28 to 507 of the family's 1533-position model. The record is from RNAcentral.